Molecule: long non-coding RNA, 461 nt
Organism: Sapajus apella (tufted capuchin)
Lineage: Eukaryota; Metazoa; Chordata; Mammalia; Primates; Cebidae
Exons: 3
Source: RefSeq, a predicted model, not a curated record
CGCAGAUUUUCUUCUGCCGCUGCCAUUCCUAAGAUGGGGAGACCCAUCUCUCCUCUUCCUCUUCAGCCUCCACGAUGUGAAAACAAGGAUGAAAGCCUUUUAUUGAGAUCGCUGCCGUGCGAGGCCUAGGUCUGUUUUCUCCUCAUGAUCAACUUAGUAGUUUUGCUUUUCUAGCUUGCCUUACCCUAACGGUGAGAGUACAACACGCAUAACAUACAAAAUGUCUGUGACUGGCUUUAUGUGAUCGGGAGGCUCUGGUCAACAGGAGGCUGUUACUUAAGCUUAGGGAAGUUAAAUGUUAUAUACAAAUUUUCAACUGCACAGGAGAUUGGUGCCUUCAACUCCUGUGUCGUUCAAGGGCUUGCUGUAAUUUGUAUUAAAACAUCAAGCCCCUUCCACCUGCGUGACUCUCUCUGCCUCAACAGACAACGUUACUCUCCACACACUCUCAGAGAGAAACA